GUAGAGUGGCCUUGAAAGAAGCAAGCCUACUCUUCUUCACGUGUAAUGCUUUCUUUACGGAUAUCUUUCUUUUCGUAAACCCCCAAGGGAUUUCAUCAGGGUAAAUUCCAAUCUAACUAUUAAAUAAAUAAUUACGACUAAUCGUAAGAGGAACUAUUCUAUAUGUAAUCUUCAGAAUAGAGCUCUGAUACCACCUAAUUAAAUAAAUAAAUACGGCUAAUCGUAAGAGUAACUAUUCUAUGUGUAAUCUUCAUAAUAGAGCUUUGAUACCACUCUAAUGAAAGCAAAAAUCCCGAGAAAAUGUAUCUAGAAGAGCUUGAG
This 321-nucleotide long non-coding RNA is filed under the name Nicotiana benthamiana. RNAcentral describes it as "long non-coding RNA (NBEN_LNC008583)". The record is from RNAcentral. Lineage: Eukaryota; Viridiplantae; Streptophyta; Magnoliopsida; Solanales; Solanaceae.